This is an RNA transcript of Falco peregrinus (peregrine falcon), 3182 nucleotides long. It is a transcript of the gene named translation initiation factor IF-2-like, with no coding region annotated. The record is from RefSeq and is a predicted model, not a curated record. Lineage: Eukaryota; Metazoa; Chordata; Aves; Falconiformes; Falconidae. The transcript has 3 exons.
GGGCGGCCGGGGCCGGCGGGCAGCGGCCGGCUGGUUGUCACGUGGCGGGCCGGCGCUCGGCCGCGGCAGGGAGCGCCGGGCGGCGGCGGCGGGCUGAGGCGGGCGGCCCGGCCGGGGACCGGCGGUUCCCGUCUCCCCGGCAGUGACAGUGGUCAGCGGGCUCCUCACGGUGCUGCCUUUUUUAUUUCUCGGAGCUGCGCUGCUGCCUCAGCGAGGCGGUGAGGAGCGGCGGCGGGGCGGCCCCGGUGCUCUCUUGCGGCGGCGGGGCCCGGGAGGGGGGUUAGCCCGCGGCGCCCUGCCGCCCCGCCGCCGCCUCCGGGUGCCCGGGGAGCCGCUGCAGCCGCCGCAGCUCUGCGCGGGGCUUUGUCUUUCCCGCAGCCGCUGGCUGGGCCGUGGCAGCGGGCUGGGGCCGCAGGGGCUGCCUUGGGGCCUGCGGUAACGCUGUCGCAGGGGGGCGGCUCAGGAGCCUCUUCCCGCCCCUGCGAGCGGGCAAGGGAAAGGAAAGCAAGCCGGCGGCUGGAAAUCCCCACCCCUCGUCCCCGACUGCUGAUUUCUUUAAAAAGUAUUACAAAGGGCAAGCGUUGAACUACCGGGGAGGGUUGGGUGGCAGCAGCUCAGGUGUCUCGCAGAUCCUCCGUCGUGGCAGUCAGCUCCUGGGCUGGAGCAGCCGAGGGGAAGAGGCCUUUGGAUUUGCUUCCGAGUGAAACGGGGCUCUUUGUUUUUUUCUUUGUACCGAGAUUCAUCCGGAAUUGUACGUUGACAAAUCAAGGGGAGCUAAACUAAAGGUCAGUCUAGAUGUUACUUUUCCACGUAUGCCUUGUGCUUGUGAGCCAGACUGCUGACUACGGAGGGAUAAGUUUUGUACUUGCCGAGGGCCCAUGGGGCUCCGUGUGCCCGCUGCUUCCAAGUGCUGUGCUGCCGGGGAGGAAUUGGUGGUCCCUUGUGGUUAUGCAGCCAGGCCUGCUGGGCGCUUAAACCAGCGCAUCCAGUCGGACAGUAUUAUUUUUCUAGAUUGUAAACGAGGCUGAGGUUUAAACCCACUUACAUUUCAGAGAGCUCAAUUGUACUGACAGAGCUGGCACAGAGUUCCCUUGUGACUCCAGAUUUCAGUCUUGUUGAAAGGCUCCAGAGCCUGCUUUGGAAGUCACUUGGCAAGGCACAGCUUUGCCGUGAUCUUUGUAUUUGAAUUCUGACUGUAAUGCCAAUGCCACAUGUUAACCUUUCUCCAGCAGUUAUAAAAGCAGAAUGAGCGUUAAGAAUCUGAUUACCUUUUAACUAAAUUCAAAACAAAGUUGAGGGAUGAAGUGACUGGAAGUCCUGCACAUCUGACUGGGUAUUGCUGCCGUGCAUGUUAUCUGCCUGUCUACCGAUUGUACCUGCCUCUUGUUCUGUUGUGGUAAUUCCUUUGGGUAAUGCGUUGGGCUCUAGAUGUAGUGCAUCUUGACUUCCUCCCGAACCCCCGAGAUGUUACCGGUCUUUGCCUUCCUCACGUUUCACAGGGCGUGGGAAGGCCAGAGAGACUGGAAGCCUCGGCUGUUCUGUGUGGAGAAGCUGUCAGCCUUCUAAGAGAGCAUGUAGCCAGCAAGCGCAUUGUGGUGCUUUGUUACCGAGCUGAUACCACAGGCCUCAGUUUUUUUUUUGUGAAAAGGGAUCACAAGGAAAUGUGCUGAUGUUGAAGGGGGAAAGGUGGCGGGGGAAGAGCUUGCCACAGGCCAUAACACUUGUGUGUUCAUAGACCGCUUUCCUUGCUCGCCACUUGCAGAUUUGAGCACUGAUGCCACGGACGUAACAGGAGAGCAGCAGCAGGAUGCAGAGCACAAGCCGUUUAAACAACUCUUGGAUAAAGCUGCCAGUCGUGUGACUCCAGAAGCCGACAGACACGAGAGCCUUACCCAGAGACUGCCGCCUUAUUUUUUUGACACCAACAUGGUCAUCUAAUUCAAACUUAUGCAGAGCAGAGACCUUCUGACUUCCUACAUCCAGGCUGGUGGCAGCACCUGAACCAGAACAUUGCUUCCAGAAAAACAUCUGAAACCACAAGCGACAAACCUGUUGCAAUCCUUGAUGACUUGUUCCCUCACUACAAGGAACUCCCUUCUGGUUCUGCAUUUGUAGAGCUACAGCUUCAUACCCUGAUGGUCACGUCUUUGCCUAUGGAUUAAAGAAUCUGUUAAAUUUAUGAUUCCCACCUGAGUGCUUAGGGGUUGUGAUCAAAGCACCAUGAAAUUUCCCUUCGAUACAUGGCAUGGAUUGCACUCUUUGACUCUCUCGCUGUCUCUCUCCGAGAUGCUUUCCAAUCUUUCAAUCAUUCCCCUCUCUGAAUCCUCAUCAGUUCCUGAGCCAGCGUGUGUGUGAGACAACAGCUGGUGCAAAGAGGAAGGUUAAGUCCUACACUUCUGAAAAUGUUUCACUUCUUUAUUUUGCUGCCCAAUACCUGCUAGACCUGACAAUUCCGCACAGCUAUGCUGACUACAUGGGUCUGUUGAGGACAUCAGCUUUGCCAGCUGUUCACGGAUUGGACACCCACUCUGCCUCUGCUUCCCGAGCUGUGGGACUGGUGGGCUGGGCUGACAGCCAGCUUGUAACUCCGUCCAUCUUCAUGAGCUCCACUUUCCAGGCAGCUGCUGGGGACCAAGUCCUCUCUCCAGUUCAUCGGUGCAUGGCCACUAAUCCUAAUAUUGCAGCUCCAAAACCAAGAGGAGAAUUAGCUCCCCGGCAAGUUUUAAGAACACAAAACCUGUCCAUCUGUGAUGGAGAUGCACAGCCCAGCCCUGUGCCUUUGGGAACUGGAUCUGCAGCAGAGGUGUAGAGAGCUUUAUAGCAAGUGCUGGGGGCCACGAUGCCUGUGAAGGACCUUGAAGGCUAAAGAAGAAAGAAAGUAAGAUAAGGUUGGCUGAACGCCUGAAGAAAAACGGGAUAUGAAGCAAGGCCGGAGUGGAUGUGCAAUACCACGUCUCGGCUGCUGGCUGAAAACAUAAGACUCACAGAGAUAAGAAAGAAGAGAGGAAAAAAAAUACAAGAAGUUCAGUGCAUUUGUAGCUUAGUAAUUAACCAAUUAUAUGUAGCCAAGAAGUGUGUGAACAGUAUUGAUUAACCAAUGAUGUUUUAAUAUGUUGCAUGUGAACAAUGAAUGAGGAUAUAUAAGCAUGGGGUUUAGACUAAUAAAGGGUCUUCUGGUCGGA